This 231-nucleotide ribosomal RNA is filed under the name uncultured bacterium. RNAcentral's name for it is "partial 16S ribosomal RNA". It matches the Rfam family "Bacterial small subunit ribosomal RNA", at positions 118 to 347 of the family's 1533-position model. The record is from RNAcentral.
UGAGCAAUCUGCCCUUCUCAUCGGAAUAAGCGUUGGAAACGACGUCUAAUGCCGAAUACGACCUCCUUUCGCAUGAUCGGAGGUGGAAAGCUCCGGCGGAGAAGGAUGAGCUCGCGGCCUAUCAGCUAGUUGGUGUGGGUAUGGCCCACCAAGGCGACGACGGGUAGCCGGCCUGAGAGGGUGACCGGCCACACUGGGACUGAGACACGGCCCAGACUCCUACGGGAGCAG